RNAcentral lists this ribosomal RNA (461 nucleotides) under uncultured bacterium. RNAcentral describes it as "bacterial SSU rRNA". It matches the Rfam family "Bacterial small subunit ribosomal RNA", at positions 340 to 789 of the family's 1533-position model. The record is from RNAcentral.
UACGGAAGGCAGCAGUGGGGAAUAUUGCACAAUGGGCGCAAGCCUGAUGCAGCCAUGCCGCGUGUAUGAAAAAGGCCUUCGGGUUGUAAAGUACUUUCAGUCGUGAGGAAGGUGUUAAGGUUAAUAACCUUAGCAAUUGACGUUAGCGACAGAAGAAGCACCGGCUAACUCCGUGCCAGCAGCCGCGGUAAUACGGAGGGUGCGAGCGUUAAUCGGAAUUACUGGGCGUAAAGGGCACGCAGGCGGUUAAUUAAGUUGGAUGUGAAAUCCCCGGGCUUAACCUGGGAAUGGCGUUCAAGACUGGUUAGCUAGAGUCUUGUAGAGGGGGUAGAAUUCCGAUGUGUAGCGGUGAAAUGCGUAGAGAUGUGGAGGAAUACCGGUGGCGAAGGGCGGCCCCUGGGACAAAGGACUGGACGCUCAUGUGCGAAAGCGUGGGGAGCAAACAGGGAUUAGAUACCCGU